UGUCUUUUUUUCGCACGAAAU
This 21-nucleotide non-coding RNA is filed under the name Caenorhabditis elegans. Lineage: Eukaryota; Metazoa; Nematoda; Chromadorea; Rhabditida; Rhabditidae. The record is from RNAcentral.